UUACCUUUAGUUUUCUCAUUUCGAUCUUACAUAUAUUAUUUAUUUAUGAUUAAUAUUAGUUAUAGGAACUCACUUUUCCAAAAAAAAGGAUAUUCAAUUAACAUGAUACAUAACAAAUAAAAAACUGUCAAUUCUUCUCACUCCAUUUAUCCACCAUUUGUUUUCAAAUUGAUGGAGAUAUAUUAUCUGGUGGGUGAUUGUAGCGCUCCUUAG
Molecule: long non-coding RNA, 213 nt
Filed under: Elaeis guineensis (African oil palm)
Lineage: Eukaryota; Viridiplantae; Streptophyta; Magnoliopsida; Arecales; Arecaceae
Description: long non-coding RNA (EGUI_LNC008892)
Source: RNAcentral